CCGACCGGAUAUUAAAAAAAGCAAAUCUCAUAAACUUCUUUCAGCCUUCUGACUCCUGGAGUAAUGAAGGCUGCUUUUUUCGUUACCCCCUUCCCCGGCAACGCCGGUGGCAGUGUGCAGCCCUUUCCCGGGCUGCUUUCUCGGCCAGCUUCUGCUUUUUCACCUUCCACUUUGGUGGCGUGGUGA
This 186-nucleotide antisense RNA is filed under the name Escherichia coli. RNAcentral describes it as "Antisense to pHK01_099". It matches the Rfam family "Antisense to pHK01_099", at positions 1 to 134 of the family's 185-position model. Rfam says of the family: The pHK01 produces plasmid-encoded small RNAs and mediates expression of host sRNAs. The overexpression of AS-traI shortened the log phase of host growth. Lineage: Bacteria; Pseudomonadati; Pseudomonadota; Gammaproteobacteria; Enterobacterales; Enterobacteriaceae. The record is from RNAcentral.